Molecule: ribosomal RNA, 1287 nt
Filed under: Klebsiella sp. DL5.4
Lineage: Bacteria; Pseudomonadati; Pseudomonadota; Gammaproteobacteria; Enterobacterales; Enterobacteriaceae
Description: bacterial SSU rRNA
Rfam family: Bacterial small subunit ribosomal RNA
Source: RNAcentral
CUUGCUCUCGGGUGACGAGCGGCGGACGGGUGAGUAAUGUCUGGGAAACUGCCUGAUGGAGGGGGAUAACUACUGGAAACGGUAGCUAAUACCGCAUAAUGUCGCAAGACCAAAGUGGGGGACCUUCGGGCCUCAUGCCAUCAGAUGUGCCCAGAUGGGAUUAGCUAGUAGGUGGGGUAACGGCUCACCUAGGCGACGAUCCCUAGCUGGUCUGAGAGGAUGACCAGCCACACUGGAACUGAGACACGGUCCAGACUCCUACGGGAGGCAGCAGUGGGGAAUAUUGCACAAUGGGCGCAAGCCUGAUGCAGCCAUGCCGCGUGUGUGAAGAAGGCCUUCGGGUUGUAAAGCACUUUCAGCGGGGAGGAAGGCGAUAAGGUUAAUAACCUUGUCGAUUGACGUUACCCGCAGAAGAAGCACCGGCUAACUCCGUGCCAGCAGCCGCGGUAAUACGGAGGGUGCAAGCGUUAAUCGGAAUUACUGGGCGUAAAGCGCACGCAGGCGGUCUGUCAAGUCGGAUGUGAAAUCCCCGGGCUCAACCUGGGAACUGCAUUCGAAACUGGCAGGCUAGAGUCUUGUAGAGGGGGGUAGAAUUCCAGGUGUAGCGGUGAAAUGCGUAGAGAUCUGGAGGAAUACCGGUGGCGAAGGCGGCCCCCUGGACAAAGACUGACGCUCAGGUGCGAAAGCGUGGGGAGCAAACAGGAUUAGAUACCCUGGUAGUCCACGCCGUAAACGAUGUCGAUUUGGAGGUUGUGCCCUUGAGGCGUGGCUUCCGGAGCUAACGCGUUAAAUCGACCGCCUGGGGAGUACGGCCGCAAGGUUAAAACUCAAAUGAAUUGACGGGGGCCCGCACAAGCGGUGGAGCAUGUGGUUUAAUUCGAUGCAACGCGAAGAACCUUACCUGGUCUUGACAUCCACAGAACUUACCAGAGAUGGUUUGGUGCCUUCGGGAACUGUGAGACAGGUGCUGCAUGGCUGUCGUCAGCUCGUGUUGUGAAAUGUUGGGUUAAGUCCCGCAACGAGCGCAACCCUUAUCCUUUGUUGCCAGCGGUUAGGCCGGGAACUCAAAGGAGACUGCCAGUGAUAAACUGGAGGAAGGUGGGGAUGACGUCAAGUCAUCAUGGCCCUUACGACCAGGGCUACACACGUGCUACAAUGGCAUAUACAAAGAGAAGCGACCUCGCGAGAGCAAGCGGACCUCAUAAAGUAUGUCGUAGUCCGGAUUGGAGUCUGCAACUCGACUCCAUGAAGUCGGAAUCGCUAGUAAUCGUAGAUCAGAAUGCUACG